UACGUAGGUGGCAAGCGUUGUCCGGAUUUACUGGGCGUAAAGAGCGCGCAGGCGGUCGUGCAAGUCGCGUGUGAAAGCCCCCGGCUCAACUGGGGAGGGUCACGCGAUACUGCUCGACUUGAAGGCAGGAGAGGGAAGUGGAAUUCCCGGUGUAGUGGUGAAAUGCGUAGAUAUCGGGAGGAACACCAGUGGCGAAGGCGGCUUUCUGGCCUGUUCUUGACGCUGAGGCGCGAAAGCUAGGGUAGCAAACGGG
RNAcentral lists this ribosomal RNA (253 nucleotides) under uncultured bacterium. RNAcentral describes it as "partial 16S ribosomal RNA". It matches the Rfam family "Bacterial small subunit ribosomal RNA", at positions 524 to 776 of the family's 1533-position model. The record is from RNAcentral.